Molecule: ribosomal RNA, 482 nt
Filed under: uncultured Desulfobacteraceae bacterium
Lineage: Bacteria; Pseudomonadati; Thermodesulfobacteriota; Desulfobacteria; Desulfobacterales; Desulfobacteraceae
Description: bacterial SSU rRNA
Rfam family: Bacterial small subunit ribosomal RNA
Source: RNAcentral
AACUUAAAUGAAUUGACGGGGCCCGCACAAGCGGUGGAGCAUGUGGUUUAAUUCGACGCAACGCGAAGAACCUUACCUGGAUUUGACAUCCCGGGGAUCUUUCUGAAAGGAUUGAGUGCCCUUCGGGAGCCCGGUGACAGGUGCUGCAUGGCUGUCGUCAGCUCGUGUCGUGAGAUGUUGGGUUAAGUCCCGCAACGAGCGCAACCCUUAUCUUUAGUUACCAUCAUUAAGUUGGGGACUCUAAAGAUACUGCCCCGGUUAACGGGAGGAAGGUGGGGAUGACGUCAAGUCCUCAUGGCCUUUAUGUCCAGGGCUACACACGUGCUACAAUGGGUUGUACAAAGGGUUGCGAACUCGCGAGAGUAAGCCAAUCCCAAAAAGCAACUCUUAGUUCGGAUUGGAGUCUGCAACUCGACUCCAUGAAGCUGGAAUCGCUAGUAAUCGUGGAUCAGCAUGCCACGGUGAAUACGUUCCCGGGCCUU